Molecule: ribosomal RNA, 96 nt
Filed under: uncultured bacterium
Lineage: Bacteria
Description: partial 16S ribosomal RNA
Rfam family: Bacterial small subunit ribosomal RNA
Source: RNAcentral
CACCGCCCGUCACACCAUGGGAGUGGGUUUCACCAGAAGCAGCUAGCCUAACCUGCAAAGGGGGGCGGCUACCACGGUGAGAUUCAUGACUGGGUG